Long non-coding RNA from Bactrocera neohumeralis, 1685 nucleotides. RefSeq lists it as uncharacterized. NCBI's taxonomy places the organism in Eukaryota, Metazoa, Arthropoda, Insecta, Diptera, Tephritidae. The record is from RefSeq and is a predicted model, not a curated record. The transcript is spliced from 3 exons.
AUACGUUCAGUCUCAUCGAUAGUGGCAAACAUGGCGCUCUGACAAAUCGUUCACUUCAAUGUUCACAAUGUUUGCCAUUGUGUAAUUUUUAUGAUUACAGCACGCGACAUCAAACGACAUUAUUAAAGAAAGCGUAUCUACUAACAGUAAAUCAAGAAUUUCUCAAAUUAAUUGGUAGGCAAGAAAGUGACGGCAAAUCUAAUUACACGUAUGAGUCGUUAGUCACUUUGAUAAAACAGACGGAUGAUCUGAGUAUUGUGAGAAUCUAUUUUGAUUCUACGUACGCUAUACUAUUCGCAAAACGCUCACUCUACAAUUGGUUGGAAAUAUUAUCAAAUAUUGGCGGAGUCAUUGGCAUUUUUGUUGGCUGCUCACUCAUUAGUGUAUUUGAGGUUAUCUACUUUUUCAUCGUAAGAUUGACACAUAAUAUUCGAAAAUAUUACUAAAUUAUAAAAAAGAUGUUAAUAGAUAAUCAACUGAACGCCUAGAAGCUUUAAGUGUAAUCAUUUUUAUACUCUUGCAACAUGUGGCUAGAGAGUGCAAUAAUUUUGUUACCCUAACGGUUGUUUAUAUCACCCAAACAUAAUUGAGUUAGAUAUAGGAUCAUGUAUAUAAAUGAUUAGGAUGAAGAGACGAGUUGAAAUCCGGGUGAUUGUUUGUAUGCUCGUGCAAGCUGUAACUUUAGUAAAACUUGAGAUAUCCUGAUCAAACUUGGUAUGCGCGUUCUUUGGCAAAAAAGUAAGGACGAGAUCGUAUGUGAAAUCACUGGACAUACUGGGCCCAUUUCAAUCAAAAUCGGUUUAUAUCUUUAUCUUGGUGGUUCUACGUAACAUUGUGAAAAUGAGCGCAAUCGGACUAUAACCACGCCUACUUUCCAUAUAGUACAAUUUUAAAUUCUAUUUGAUUCUUUCAGUUCCCAGUACACAAAUUAAGCACCAAUGAAUACAUUCGGGUAAAACUUUGCACAAAUAGUGUCUUUGGGGUACCCCAUCUCGUUAUUAAAAAUUGUCAAAAUCCAUAACUGCUCAAGCCCCCAUAUACCGAAUGUGUGUGCCCCAGUGCGUAUGGCUCUAUUUUUGCCGAAAAUAUCGGUCAAUAUAUAAUAUUGAAAUUCGGGGGAAAAUGUUUUUUUUUUUGUUAAUAGUUUAUCAUUGUGUCAAAAAUGGGUUGAAUCGGGUUAAUAGUAAGGAAGUGUAAAUCUAAAUAAAGAAUUUCAAACUUCCAGUUCCAUUUAUAAUACAUAUGUACUAUGUCGGCUUAUAUUUUUCUAAAAACAGUUAUCUUUGUGCUUAAAUAGAUAUAAUCGGGUGAAAAAUUGUCUUGGCCCAUUAAACUGACAAACCUUUUGCACCUUAUAGUAUUUGACCGGCUUUGAUCCUUGCAAGUUGCAAGAGUAUAAAAUGUUAGGUUACACACGAACUUAGCCCUUUUUUACUUGUUUAUAAACGUAUUUACAAUUUAUUAAUAAAACACUGAAGUCUAGUCAAUAUUGGAUGCCAUCACGGGGCUUUAUUAAACAAAAAUACAAUUCCACUUGCCGCUUAAUGCAAUUUGUAGAACUAUAUUAUAUAUUUGUGUAUUUAUUUAUGUAUAAAAUGUGUAUGUACUUAUUUUAAGAAAUAUUUAUUUUACCAUUAUUCGACUCUGACAAUUAUUAAGCUCAAAAUUUUAAAUAAAUAUUUGUU